Parasteatoda tepidariorum (common house spider) is the source of this 322-nucleotide non-coding RNA. NCBI's taxonomy places the organism in Eukaryota, Metazoa, Arthropoda, Arachnida, Araneae, Theridiidae. The record is from RefSeq and is a predicted model, not a curated record.
AAUUAACCUAAUUAAUCAAACUAAAAAAAAUACUUUUAUUUCUAAACCUUUAUUAGGCAAGAAUCAAUUAAAAAGCUGGAGAUAAAAGUUUUAAAAUUAUUAUUAUUUUUUUUUAAAAUUAAAAAGAAUUGGCGCUGCAGUCGAAUAUAUUUGCACAUCUGGUUUUAUUCUGCUGCGAUCGUUUUGUUAAUUUUUUAAACUUUCUUUUUCAUAGUAUCAUUGCAUCAAAUCGUAGUGUAUUACUUGUACUGAACGCCUUCAAAAGAUUUCACUAUGUUCCUCUUUGACUGGUUUGCUGGCGUUUUAAGUUUCCUUGGUAAGU